UGCUGAUCUGAAGGUAGUGAGUUAUCUCCAUUGACUGUUCACAGCUAGUUACAGAUCAAACUCCUUGUUUUACUCUUUCUCCCCUUCUCUACUUGACUAAUCUUCA
RNAcentral lists this non-coding RNA (106 nucleotides) under Carlito syrichta (Philippine tarsier). The record is from RNAcentral. Lineage: Eukaryota; Metazoa; Chordata; Mammalia; Primates; Tarsiidae.